AUGCACGCUGGCGGCGUGCCUAAUACAUGCAAGUCGAGCGAACGGACGAGAAGCUUGCUUCUCUGAUGUUAGCGGCGGACGGGUGAGUAACACGUGGAUAACCUACCUAUAAGACUGGGAUAACUUCGGGAAACCGGAGCUAAUACCGGAUAAUAUUUUGAACCGCAUGGUUCAAAAGUGAAAGACGGUCUUGCUGUCACUUAUAGAUGGAUCCGCGCUGCAUUAGCUAGUUGGUAAGGUAACGGCUUACCAAGGCAACGAUGCAUAGCCGACCUGAGAGGGUGAUCGGCCACACUGGAACUGAGACACGGUCCAGACUCCUACGGGAGGCAGCAGUAGGGAAUCUUCCGCAAUGGGCGAAAGCCUGACGGAGCAACGCCGCGUGAGUGAUGAAGGUCUUCGGAUCGUAAAACUCUGUUAUUAGGGAAGAACAUAUGUGUAAGUAACUGUACACAUCUUGACGGUACCUAAUCAGAAAGCCACGGCUAACUACGUG
This 496-nucleotide ribosomal RNA is filed under the name uncultured bacterium. RNAcentral's name for it is "partial 16S ribosomal RNA". It matches the Rfam family "Bacterial small subunit ribosomal RNA", at positions 29 to 507 of the family's 1533-position model. The record is from RNAcentral.